GGGGACGUGGCGGAACCGGUAGACGCAGCGGACUUAAAAUCCGUUGGCCGCAGGCCGUGAGGGUUCGAGUCCCUCCGUCCCCACCA
Molecule: transfer RNA, 86 nt
Filed under: Caulobacteraceae bacterium
Lineage: Bacteria; Pseudomonadati; Pseudomonadota; Alphaproteobacteria; Caulobacterales; Caulobacteraceae
Description: tRNA-Leu
Rfam family: tRNA
About the family: Transfer RNA (tRNA) molecules are approximately 80 nucleotides in length.
Source: RNAcentral